ACUCUAAGCGGUGGAUCACUCGGCUCAUGGGUCGAUGAAGAACGCAGCAAACUGUGCGUCAUCGUGUGAACUGCAGGACACAUGAACAUCGACAUUUUGAACGCAUAUCGCAGUCCAUGCUGUUAUGUACUUUAAUUAAUUUUAUAGUGCUGCUUGGACUACAUAUGGUUGAGGGUUGUAAGACUAUGCUAAUUAAGUUGCUUAUAAAUUUUUAUAAGCAUAUGGUAUAUUAUUGGAUAAAUAUAAUAAUUUUUAUUCAUAAUAUUAAAAAAUAAAUGAAAAACAUUAUCUCACAUUUGAAUGUGAAAAACGAAGAGAAAUAUUUUCUUUUUCAAUCAAAUAAUACUGAGAAAUGUCUAGCAUAAAAAAUUGAAAUAUUUUUCAUCUAGAAUUGUCUCUUAUUAAUGAUUCGGAAAUAGAAAAAUCUUGGUUAUGUUAUUAUUCUUCGUUGGUUCGUUAAAAAUGGAUAAAUAAAAACUUUGCAUACAAGAAUUAAUAAAAAUGUUAUAACGAAUUUAAUUAAAUGUUUUAUCAUUAUAUAUAAAGAAUUUAUGGCAAGAUAAAGUUAUAUACAACCUCAACUCAUAUGGGACUACCCCCUGAAUUUAAGCAUAUUAAUUAGGGGAGGAAAAGAAACUAACAAGGAUUUUCUUAGUAGCGGCGAGCGAAAAGAAAACAGUUCAGCACUAAGUCACUUUGUCUAUAUGGCAAAUGUGAGAUGCAGUGUAUGGAGCGUCAAUAUUCUAGUAUGAGAAAUUAACGAUUUAAGUCCUUCUUAAAUGAGGCCAUUUACCCAUAGAGGGUGCCAGGCCCGUAUAACGUUAAUGAUUACUAGAUGAUGUUUCCAAAGAGUCGUGUUGCUUGAUAGUGCAGCACUAAGUGGGUGGUAAACUCCAUCUAAAACUAAAUAUAACCAUGAGACCGAUAGUAAACAAGUACCGUGAGGGAAAGUUGAAAAGAACUCUGAAUAGAGAGUUAAACAGUACGUGAAACUGCUUAGAGGUUAAGCCCGAUGAACCUGAAUAUCCGUUAUGGAAAAUUCAUCAUUAAAAUUGUAAUAUUUAAAUAAUAUUAUGAGAAUAGUGUGCAUUUUUUCCAUAUAAGGACAUUGUAAUCUAUUAGCAUAUACCAAAUUUAUCAUAAAAUAUAACUUAUAGUUUAUUCCAAUUAAAUUGCUUGCAUUUUAACACAGAAUAAAUGUUAUUAAUUUGAUAAAGUGCUGAUAGAUUUAUAUGAUUACAGUGCGUUAAUUUUUCGGAAUUAUAUAAUGGCAUAAUUAUCAUUGAUUUUUGUGUUUAUUAUAUGCACUUGUAUGAUUAACAAUGCGAAAGAUUCAGGAUACCUUCGGGACCCGUCUUGAAACACGGACCAAGGAGUCUAACAUAUGUGCAAGUUAUUGGGAUAUAAACCUAAUAGCGUAAUUAACUUGACUAAUAAUGGGAUUAGUUUUUUAGCUAUUUAUAGCUAAUUAACACAAUCCCGGGGCGUUCUAUAUAGUUAUGUAUAAUGUAUAUUUAUAUUAUUUAUGCCUCUAACUGGAACGUACCUUGAGCAUAUAUGCUGUGACCCGAAAGAUGGUGAACUAUACUUGAUCAGGUUGAAGUCAGGGGAAACCCUGAUGGAAGACCGAAACAGUUCUGACGUGCAAAUCGAUUGUCAGAAUUGAGUAUAGGGGCGAAAGACCAAUCGAACCAUCUAGUAGCUGGUUCCUUCCGAAGUUUCCCUCAGGAUAGCUGGUGCAUUUUAAUAUUAUAUAAAAUAAUCUUAUCUGGUAAAGCGAAUGAUUAGAGGCCUUAGGGUCGAAACGAUCUUAACCUAUUCUCAAACUUUAAAUGGGUAAGAACCUUAACUUUCUUGAUAUGAAGUUCAAGGUUAUGAUAUAAUGUGCCCAGUGGGCCACUUUUGGUAAGCAGAACUGGCGCUGUGGGAUGAACCAAACGUAAUGUUACGGUGCCCAAAUUAACAACUCAUGCAGAUACCAUGAAAGGCGUUGGUUGCUUAAAACAGCAGGACGGUGAUCAUGGAAGUCGAAAUCCGCUAAGGAGUGUGUAACAACUCACCUGCCGAAGCAACUAGCCCUUAAAAUGGAUGGCGCUUAAGUUGUAUACCUAUACAUUACCGCUAAAGUAGAUGAUUUAUAUUACUUGUGAUAUAAAUUUUGAAACUUUAGUGAGUAGGAAGGUACAAUGGUAUGCGUAGAAGUGUUUGGCGUAAGCCUGCAUGGAGCUGCCAUUGGUACAGAUCUUGGUGGUAGUAGCAAAUAAUCGAAUGAGACCUUGGAGGACUGAAGUGGAGAAGGGUUUCGUGUGAACAGUGGUUGAUCACGAGUUAGUCGGUCCUAAGUUCAAGGCGAAAGCCGAAAAUUUUCAAGUAAAACAAAAAUGCCUAACUAUAUAAACAAAGCGAAUUAUAAUACACUUGAAUAAUUUUGAACGAAAGGGAAUACGGUUCCAAUUCCGUAACCUGUUGAGUAUCCGUUUGUUAUUAAAUAUGGGCCUCGUGCUCAUCCUGGCAACAGGAACGACCAUAAAGAAGCCGUCGAGAGAUAUCGGAAGAGUUUUCUUUUCUGUUUUAUAGCCGUACUACCAUGGAAGUCUUUCGCAGAGAGAUAUGGUAGAUGGGCUAGAAGAGCAUGACAUAUACUGUUGUGUCGAUAUUUUCUCCUCGGACCUUGAAAAUUUAUGGUGGGGACACGCAAACUUCUCAACAGGCCGUACCAAUAUCCGCAGCUGGUCUCCAAGGUGAAGAGUCUCUAGUCGAUAGAAUAAUGUAGGUAAGGGAAGUCGGCAAAUUAGAUCCGUAACUUCGGGAUAAGGAUUGGCUCUGAAGAUUGAGAUAGUCGGGCUUGAUUGGGAAACAAUAACAUGGUUUAUGUGCUCGUUCUGGGUAAAUAGAGUUUCUAGCAUUUAUGUUAGUUACUUGUUCCCCGGAUAGUUUAGUUACGUAGCCAAUUGUGGAACUUUCUUGCUAAAAUUUUUAAGAAUACUAUUUGGGUUAAACCAAUUAGUUCUUAUUAAUUAUAACGAUUAUCAAUUAACAAUCAAUUCAGAACUGGCACGGACUUGGGGAAUCCGACUGUCUAAUUAAAACAAAGCAUUGUGAUGGCCCUAGCGGGUGUUGACACAAUGUGAUUUCUGCCCAGUGCUCUGAAUGUCAAAGUGAAGAAAUUCAAGUAAGCGCGGGUCAACGGCGGGAGUAACUAUGACUCUCUUAAGGUAGCCAAAUGCCUCGUCAUCUAAUUAGUGACGCGCAUGAAUGGAUUAACGAGAUUCCUACUGUCGUUGGAGCAUUGGCGCGUGUGCUUCGAGCCGACUGGGGCUUCAGUCCUCGAGCCAGGCGGACCAUAUAUGACGGACUCAUGGCACCUUGUGUGCUGU
This 3377-nucleotide ribosomal RNA is filed under the name Drosophila melanogaster (fruit fly). RNAcentral's name for it is "eukaryotic LSU rRNA". The stretch from base 573 to 3338 matches the Rfam family "Eukaryotic large subunit ribosomal RNA". The record is from RNAcentral. Lineage: Eukaryota; Metazoa; Arthropoda; Insecta; Diptera; Drosophilidae.